Molecule: small RNA, 24 nt
Filed under: Arabidopsis thaliana (thale cress)
Lineage: Eukaryota; Viridiplantae; Streptophyta; Magnoliopsida; Brassicales; Brassicaceae
Description: ATSL215200
Source: RNAcentral
AACGGCAGUGGCGGAGCCAGAAAA